This 253-nucleotide ribosomal RNA is filed under the name uncultured bacterium. Its description in RNAcentral is "partial 16S ribosomal RNA". It matches the Rfam family "Bacterial small subunit ribosomal RNA", at positions 524 to 776 of the family's 1533-position model. The record is from RNAcentral.
UACAGAGGUCUCAAGCGUUGUUCGGAUUCAUUGGGCGUAAAGGGCUCGUAGGCGGUUCGUCACGUCGGGCGUGAAAACUCGGAGCUUAACUCCGAGCCUGCUUCCGAUACGGGCAGACUAGAGGUAGGCAGGGGAGAGCGGAACUCCUGGUGUAGCGGUGGAAUGCGCAGAUAUCAGGAGGAACACCGGUGGCGAAGGCGGGUCUCUGGGCCGAUACUGACGCUGAGGAGCGAAAGCGUGGGGAGCGAACAGG